This 465-nucleotide ribosomal RNA is filed under the name Vreelandella stevensii. RNAcentral describes it as "partial 16S ribosomal RNA". It matches the Rfam family "Bacterial small subunit ribosomal RNA", at positions 338 to 795 of the family's 1533-position model. Lineage: Bacteria; Pseudomonadati; Pseudomonadota; Gammaproteobacteria; Oceanospirillales; Halomonadaceae. The record is from RNAcentral.
CCUACGUGUGGCAGCAGUGGGGAAUAUUGGACAAUGGGCGAAAGCCUGAUCCAGCCAUGCCGCGUGUGUGAAGAAGGCCUUCGGGUUGUAAAGCACUUUCAGUGGGGAAGAAAGCCUUGGGGCUAAUACCCUCGAGGAAGGACAUCACCCACAGAAGAAGCACCGUCUAACUCCGUGCCAGCAGCCGCGGUAAUACGGAGGGUGCGAGCGUUAAUCGGAAUUACUGGGCGUAAAGCGCGCGUAGGCGGUCUGAUAAGCCGGUUGUGAAAGCCCCGGGCUCAACCUGGGAACGGCAUCCGGAACUGUCAGGCUAGAGUGCAGGAGAGGAAGGUAGAAUUCCCGGUGUAGCGGUGAAAUGCGUAGAGAUCGGGAGGAAUACCAGUGGCGAAGGCGGCCUUCUGGACUGACACUGACGCUGAGGUGCGAAAGCGUGGGUAGCAAACAGGAUUAGAUACCCGUGUAGUC